CAGAAAAUAGUUUAUACAAAACAAAAACUUUGGGAGUUUUAGAUUUAGAUUUCUAAUUUUCUGA
This 64-nucleotide transfer RNA is filed under the name Sinohyriopsis schlegelii. RNAcentral's name for it is "tRNA-Pro". Lineage: Eukaryota; Metazoa; Mollusca; Bivalvia; Unionida; Unionidae. The record is from RNAcentral.